CUUUUUGUGCCUUAUGUAUAUAUAGGGGGGUGGUAGUACUCUUGGGGUAGACAGGCAUGUGCUGGGAUGGCAUGCCAAGGCAUGUGCUGGGAUGGCAUGCCUUGGUGUGUGCUGGGAUGGCAUGCCAAGGACAAGCAUGUGCUGGGAAGGCAUGCCAAGGCCAAGACAAGGCCAAGGCAAGCACAUGCAUCGCGAGGGAGAUGAGACGGGUAUGUUUACCCCAAGAGUGCCCAAGGGAGAGGAAAGAGACGUCAAACGCAUGCUGAGCCCCACUUCGGUAGUUUGGCACCUGAUAGGCAUUCAGGCAAGCGUGCCUAUGGGAAAGGUCGGUUGAGCUUGCCAGCCAUGUUGGGUAUCAGCUGGACGAGAUGAUGGCACAAUGAUGCUUGCUUUAAGGUAACGUUCCGGCAGCACAGCCAGCCCGCAAUUGCUAGUUCAAGCGGGUGGAAUCUGCCUAUAGGGGCGUUGCUUGCUUGCUGUGGAGUUGGGACACGCCCAAUAUCUAUCAUCGACCCUUGUACCUUUAUGGCCCCAUAGGUAUUCAGGCAAGCGUGCCUAUGGGAAAAGUCGGUUGAGCUUGCCACCCAUGUUGGGUAUCAGCUGGACGAGAUGAUGGCACAAGGAUGCUUGCUUUAAGGUAACGUUCCGGCAGCACAGCCAGCCCGCAAUUGCUAGUUCAAGCGGGUGGAAUCUGCCUAUAGGGGCGUUGCUUGCUUGCUGUGGAGUUGGGACAUCCCCAAUAUCUAUCAUCGACCCUUGUACCUGCAUGCCCCCAUAGGUAUUCAGGCAAGCGUGCCUAUGGGAAAAGUCGCUUGAGCUUGCCAGCCAUGUUGGGUAUCAGCUGGACGAGAUGAUGGCACAAGGAUGCUUGCUUUAAGGUAACAUUCCGGCAGCACAGCCAGCCCGCAAUUGCUAGUUCAAGCGGGUGGAAUCUGCCUAUAGGGGUGUUGCUUGCUUGCUGUGGAUUUGGGACACUCCCAAUAUCUAUCAUCGAUCCAACGAAGUGCUCAACAUGGGUUGCUGAGGGAUAUUUUGGCACUGAUGGUUCUCUUGUUUGCUUGGCUUUGAUAAACGUUUAGAUGUCGUGAUGCUUGUGAUCCAAUAAAUUUAUGUGGGAAGCUAAGAGUUGGAACCCAAUGUCAUUCACCAGACGGCUUAGAUUCGUCAGUGUGUAUAAUAUGUCAUUGAACCCCAAUCCUUGAUGCUAACCUGAUUAUGACUUUUGGAUUGCGAUUAUCAUGGUUAUCAAAAACUGAGUAGGAGUCACUGAAUGAGUGAACAAUUUGUAGCCUUUAAUAGCUGUCAGCUUUCGCAUCGCCCGGUGUGUUUUGGGAAUCGCUUUAUGCAUUUGGUUGCCUGCCGUGCCUCUUGGCAUACGGUGGGUGCCACUUGCCGGGUGGUUUUCGGAAACAUCCACCGUAAAGGUGCAUGAGUGGUAUUUGGUUUGUUAAGGGUGGUUGGCUCUUUGCUUGCGCAACAACUGCCACCCGACUUACCUCUUCAGAUGUUUGCCUAGGCUUGUAUAGCCUAAGCAGAUUGUGGGUUUCCUGCGUUGCCUACCUACGUUAUGGAAUUGUCCCUAUCGUUCAAAGUUGCUUUCGUCUUGUGUCGUUUCUAUGGCGUAAGAUGAACCAUGAAGCUGUCUCUUUGCACCGCAUCGUUAAUGCAUGCGUCGAUGUUGUGGCCCAUUGAGCAUUGCUUGGUACCUUGGAUACGGAACCUUAUGUGGGCAUGGGUCCUUGGGGAUCCUUGUUCUGCCCUUGUUUAGCGUUCGCGCUUCUCUUAGAAUGACUGCCCAGCCGAAAUGGUAAGGCAUUGUGGAUGGGCAUCGUCAAAGAGGAAUGC
RNAcentral lists this unclassified non-coding RNA (1845 nucleotides) under Helianthus porteri. Its description in RNAcentral is "partial external transcribed spacer". Lineage: Eukaryota; Viridiplantae; Streptophyta; Magnoliopsida; Asterales; Asteraceae. The record is from RNAcentral.